RNAcentral lists this small nucleolar RNA (173 nucleotides) under Paraphaeosphaeria sporulosa. Lineage: Eukaryota; Fungi; Ascomycota; Dothideomycetes; Pleosporales; Didymosphaeriaceae. The record is from RNAcentral.
UAGUCUCCUGCCUCGCUCAAUCCGUUGCAUCAAUCAGCAGAUUUCGAGCUGGAUACACCGCUCCUCACGGAGUGGCCCGUACGAGACAAGAAGAACCCCCCACUCGACAAUCUUUGAGUACGGAACCGUGCUACUUCCCUGCCGGAACUUCGUAAUUAUUUGUCGAGACAUGC